CGAAAAAAAGGAUUUUCUGUGAGAGGAACUGCCCCCAAUGCAGCGAACCUGACGCCAUGGACCUCUUGAACGAAGACCAAGCUGAUGUGGCCCAGCAUAUAGAUGAAGAACACCAUGGAAAAGACUGUUGUUGCAGUGGGAACUCCAGAACCAGACAGAGGUGCAAAAAAGCAAGUAAAGAAAAUCUUGGACACGAGCACUGAAUGCAGCACCAGUGACACUGAUGAAGAGUCCCUGAUUUCUUCCUCCUCUUCAGAGUCACCUGAUAGCGACAUUCCUCAGAAGAGGAAAAGAGGACAUAAAAAGAAGACCAAGAGUGCUAGCAGGUCAAAAUCUGCCAAACACAGCUCACGUGCAACAACCCCAGACGAUGUACUGAAGCGGUACAAUAAAGUUUUUCGUGCCUUCAACAAAGAAGGGAGCAUCAGUAAGGCAUGCACCAAAGUUGGGGUUGACCGAAAUACACUCGCAU
Molecule: long non-coding RNA, 472 nt
Organism: Ctenopharyngodon idella (grass carp)
Lineage: Eukaryota; Metazoa; Chordata; Actinopteri; Cypriniformes; Xenocyprididae
Exons: 4
Source: RefSeq, a predicted model, not a curated record